GACGAACGCUGGCGGCGUGCUUAACACAUGCAAGUCGAACGGAAAGGCCCUGCUUUUGUGGGGUGCUCGAGUGGCGAACGGGUGAGUAACACGUGAGUAACCUGCCCUGGACUUUGGGAUAACUUCAGGAAACUGGGGCUAAUACCUGAUAGGAGCUCCUGCUGCAUGGUGGGGUUUGGAAAGUUUCGGCGGUUGGGGAUGGACUCGCGGCUUAUCAGCUUGUUGGUGGGGUAGUGGCUUACCAAGGCUUUGACGGGUAGCCGGCCUGAGAGGGUGAACGGCCACCUUGGGACUGAGAGACGGCCCAGACGCCUACGGGAGGCAGCAGUGGGGAAUAUUGCACAAUGGGCGGAAGCCUGAUGCAGCAGCGCCGCGUGCGGGAUGACGGCCUUCGGGUUGUAAACCGCUUUCGCCUGUGACGAAGCGUGAGUGACGGUAAUGGGUAAAGAAGCACCGGCUAACUACGUG
Molecule: ribosomal RNA, 468 nt
Filed under: uncultured bacterium
Lineage: Bacteria
Description: partial 16S ribosomal RNA
Rfam family: Bacterial small subunit ribosomal RNA
Source: RNAcentral